RNAcentral lists this ribosomal RNA (552 nucleotides) under uncultured bacterium. RNAcentral's name for it is "bacterial SSU rRNA". It matches the Rfam family "Bacterial small subunit ribosomal RNA", at positions 147 to 710 of the family's 1533-position model. The record is from RNAcentral.
CUCCUGGAAACGGGUGGUAAUGCCGGAUGUGCCGGGCUCCUGCAUGGGGGUCCGGGAAAGCUCUGGCGGCGUGGGAUGGGGUCGCGUCCUAUCAGCUUGUUGGCGGGGUGAGGGCCCACCAAGGCUUCGACGGGUAGCCGGCCUGAGAGGGCGACCGGCCACAUUGGGACUGAGAUACGGCCCAGACUCCUACGGGAGGCAGCAGUGGGGAAUAUUGCACAAUGGGCGCAAGCCUGAUGCAGCGACGCCGCGUGCGGGAUGGAGGCCUUCGGGUUGUAAACCGCUUUUGUUUGGGAGCAAGCCCUUCGGGGUGAGUGUACCUUUCGAAUAAGCACCGGCUAACUACGUGCCAGCAGCCGCGGUAAUACGUAGGGUGCGAGCGUUAUCCGGAAUUAUUGGGCGUAAAGGGCUCGUAGGCGGUUCGUCGCGUCCGGUGUGAAAGUCCAUCGCCUAACGGUGGAUCUGCGCCGGGUACGGGCGGGCUGGAGUGCGGUAGGGGAGACUGGAAUUCCCGGUGUAACGGUGGAAUGUGUAGAUAUCGGGAAGAACACC